This 277-nucleotide ribosomal RNA is filed under the name Williopsis jadinii. RNAcentral's name for it is "Cyberlindnera jadinii partial 28S ribosomal RNA". It matches the Rfam family "Eukaryotic large subunit ribosomal RNA", at positions 1 to 271 of the family's 3401-position model. Lineage: Eukaryota; Fungi; Ascomycota; Saccharomycetes; Phaffomycetales; Wickerhamomycetaceae. The record is from RNAcentral.
GCUUGACCUCAAAUCAGGUAGGACUACCCGCUGAACUUAAGCAUAUCAAUAAGCGGAGGAAAAGAAACCAACAGGGAUUGCCUCAGUAACGGCGAGUGAAGCGGCAAAAGCUCAAAUUUGAAAUCUGAGGCUUUCAGCCCCCGAGUUGUAAUUUGAAGAUGGUGUUCUGGCGCCGGCGCCCUGUCUACGUUCCUUGGAACAGGACAUCGCAGAGGGUGAGAAUCCCGUCUGGCGGGGCGGCCUGGCUCCGUGUAGAGCGCCAUCGACGAGUCGAGUU